CUUUGGAUCAUCUGGGGAUCUUGUUGCAAUACAGAUUCUGAUUCAGGAUUCUGCUUGGUAUGUGAGCUUCUUCAUUUCUAGCAACAUCCCAGUUGAUGAAAAG
RNAcentral lists this microRNA precursor (103 nucleotides) under Marmota monax (woodchuck). The record is from RNAcentral. Lineage: Eukaryota; Metazoa; Chordata; Mammalia; Rodentia; Sciuridae.